RNAcentral lists this small RNA (1071 nucleotides) under Rattus norvegicus (Norway rat). RNAcentral's name for it is "uncharacterized LOC102552293". Lineage: Eukaryota; Metazoa; Chordata; Mammalia; Rodentia; Muridae. The record is from RNAcentral.
CACCACUCCAUAGUCUGAGGUCCUAAACUUAAAGAGUAAAGGUAAGUUGAGUAUUUGAUUCAUCCCUCUCUGCCUCCCUGUGGUGGUUGCAAUGUAAGCAGGCACUUCAUGCUCUGCAGCCUUGAACUGUGAGCCAAAAUAAACCCUCCCUCCCUUAAGCUGCUUCUUUCUGGCAUUUGUUACAGCUAUGAGGAAAGUGACAUCCUACAGGAAGAAAUCUCCAUGUCCAAAAGCAUCAAUGGCUGCCUGAAGAGGGUACCCACAACAAUGUGUUUUGAUUCAUAGAGGCUGGAGACAACAUGGAUCACAGUUCCCAUGGAAAUCUCUGCCAGUGUUUUUGCUUGAUUCAGCCAAUUAUCUUAGCAACCAUCAACAGCACCUUGCCUCCUCCCCUUCCCGUGACAAGCACAUUCUUAGCUCAUUUUAGUUGAAAAAGAAGCCCAUCUGUUCGGUGAUAUUAAAUUCAGAGAGGUGUUCUUGUGAAAUGUUUGGCCUUCUCUUUUAAACGCUUGACAAUAUGCCACAGUUACAAGAGGAGAAUGAAGGAAAGAGAGAAGAGAAGAGUCUAAGAAAAUUAGUUUAUUUCCUAUAUUCCCUGGGGCUCUUGGUUACGAAUUACUGAUAAUUUCUUAUCCUUAUGAUAAUGAUGGGGCUCCAGGAAAGAAAAAUGUUCCAAAUGAAGACAGGAUGUUGGAUGAGACUGGGAUUUCAGUCCUAGACACUACAGAAAGAAAGCCAACCCAUCACAACCAAUUAUCUCAAAGACAAAGCCUAUUGGAAACAUCUAGAGUCACGUGACGGUCCGGAUGGUGAGAGCCAAAGUGAUCGCUAGAAAGCUGAAUGCUGAGAUCAGAGUCCUGAUGGCUGCUCACCCCUCUGCGGCCUAUUUACAGAGAUUCAAUGUGACCAGUUGGUUCAAGCUCUUGUCACCAUGGCCAUGGCUUCUUCAGUGUAAUGGAGUGUUCUUUUGAACUCUGAGGCAAAUAAAUUCUUCCUUCCUUGAGUUGCUUCUGCUGGGGUAUGUGGCAGUUUGACUAUGUUUUGUCCAUGGGAGGUGGCACUGUUAGGAGG